UUUUGCCUCUAUUUUUUACCUCUCGACGUUGAACUAAUUUCGUGAACGAGAGAAAUUUUUUUAUUGUUUAAAUCGAGACGGAAAUUUGGACGGCUCUCACUGUGGAUGAAAGUUAAAGAAGAAAGUUUUGAAUUUCUUUACAAAUUACCUUUGUUAAGUUGUUCUGUAAUUUUAUAAUGGCUAAAAAGUGGGAAAAGUAAAUUGUACAAAAGUAUUCAAAGGGAUCCGUAGUUUCUCGUAAUUAUGCAUUACUGGAGCAGUAGAGGAACACAUGGAACUUUUUUGUCGAUCAUGAAUCACUUGAUACACCUGUUUGAUUACCAUGGAACGUUAAUCGUCCCCUGAAGAUACGGAUCCUCUUUGAGAAAUGUAAACAUAUGAAUUUAAAGGAUUGCAAUCUAAGAAAUUAUGGACUGGUGUUUUGAAAGGUCUUGUACAACUGCUCUUAUCCAGGCCAUUCCAUCGCAAAGAAAGUGAGGAGGAAUGCAAGGUAUCGUCGAUAUAAUUAUAGUCAAGUUUAAUAUGUUCAAUACACUUCUUUUUAUUCA
Molecule: non-coding RNA, 548 nt
Organism: Osmia lignaria (orchard mason bee)
Lineage: Eukaryota; Metazoa; Arthropoda; Insecta; Hymenoptera; Megachilidae
Source: RefSeq, a predicted model, not a curated record